UUCAGUGAAGGAACCACUGUCAUAUUCUAGAUAGGAAUACCUGUCUAUGUUUGUGUUGUGUAACAAAAAGCGUUUGUUAAGCGUUGUCUAAGUGCUUGUUGCCAUCGAUAGAGGUUCCAUCGUUGCCAUGAUGCCAGAAUAGCAGCCUAAACUAGAGCUCCUGUAAAUUUGUAAAUAUUGAAUCAUUUUUAACUACUUUUGAUUGCAUUUUUGUUUUUGUUAGCUAAUAGGUAUCAGCAUGGCAUGGCUGGCAAGUCAGUUGGUUUUGCCUAACUCAUGUGUCACUGUCAUCAAGAACUUCAGCUAGCUAACGUCCUAGAAAACUAGCUAGCUAGCUAUGUUUUGAUUCACAGUAAGGGGAUGGUGUUUGUAGAUGGCAGGCUCGUUGAAGAUGCUGAAGUUUAAGUUUUGAACAGUUUUCUCCAGUGGUUAACUUCAAGGCGGACUAUUCUGGACUGAUGUGCAGUUUGCUUUUCUGGCACCUUUGCGGCUUUUGAUUCUUCACCCAGGUGGAUGCUACACAUUGGUAGUGGUGGAGUUCUACCCAUGGUGUCUGACUUCAGAGACUACUACUGAGAAGCGCUGCUUCAGCGACCGUGAGCUCUUUUCUAACAGUUGGAGGAGAGGAAAAUGGACUGUGCCGACUGGGCAGUUUACACAGCUCCUAAAACAACAGGCCUGCUGGGAAAUGGGAAUUUUGCGCCUCCUCCCCCUCUGCAACUUCCCAAGCUGACUGACUGGCUUCUUCAAGGUGUACAUGGGGACAUUAGGCACCCUUGCCUUAUGCCCCCAGGUCAGAGUUGAGUUAAUGAACAGACUGUCUAUGUUAGUUCUCAACAUUAAGGUUGCCUCCUAUCUGUCAACUGACAAAUGGAUUACAUAAACAUUCAGUGUGUUUGUUAUGUGGUUUAUCGUGAGUUUGCCCCAUUUAUGUUUGCAAUAUUCAUGUGGAGACAAAGGCCUUCCUAAGUAACUAUAACCAGAAGUAGGAUUACCAUUUCUUUCAACUCUGAACCUUUGUGUUCUCUUCUUUCCUCCCCUGCUCUUUCCAUUUCUUCAUUUCAGUGGCUCUGAGAUGUCUCUCUGUCUCCUGAUCUUUUUCAAUCUUAUGUUUACUAAAACACUUAGAGCCGCACUCUGUUCCGCCGUUCUGGACCUCUCUCCGACCCCGUACCCAGUCAGUUAGAACCUGCACGCUCCGAUUCCCAUCCCCGGGCUUAUCUGUCCUCCAGGCAGCUCGGAAUGCCAGUUUUCAUGGACAUUACUGGCUACAAGUGGACUUGAGUUGGAAAGGUCAGGUUAGACUCAGGACUGUGCAGAUAGUUAAUGCAUUACUAAAUAGUUAAACAAAUUUAUACACAUAGAAAGUCAAAUUAUAGACUCAAAUUAGAUGAGUCAUAUAUGGACUCAACCCAGAGGUCACCUGCUGUCACUUGACUCAUGCGUGUGCGUGCACACACACACACAAAAAUAUACACACGCAUACAGUACACACACAUAAACAGAGUUUGACUGAUGCCUGAUGCUCCAAGUUUCACUAGCGAUGUUCCCUUAAACCAGAGGCUUCCCUCUGUCAUUACUAAGGAAUCCACCAACGCAGGCUCCGGCAGGAAUAUUGUAUUUAAAGACGGUAAUGUUGGGCCUGCCUCUCUGCCUGGUCCAGUCCGUCUACUAGGGAAAGUGUGAUUUAAGAGGACCUCAUUUAACGUGGGGCGUAGGAUACAGGAAUGGGACAUAGGACACAGGAAUGGGGUGUAGGAUACAGGAAUCGGGUGACAGACACAUGAAUGGGGCGUAGGGGUGUGUGUUACUAUGUGCUUAUUCAUUCACAGACUAGGGAAGGGUUCCCAAAUCUAAAUUUUGAAUCCAAAUAAUCUAAAUAUUUGAAUGAUAUAAAUACUGUAAGUAAGCAAGUUAGGGUUGCACACCUUUCUCUUUAACAAUAUUUUGAAAUAUCAUCUGUUUUUCCAUAGCCUUAUACUUCUACAUUUUUACUUAAAUGUAGUAAUUCUGGAAACUAACCACACUCUUGAGCUUUUCCACACUGAAAACUCCCUAUUCACUGGUGGAAUAGAUAUUUUCAAUCACUACAUUGGCUUGCGUUGAAAUGUAAUCAGAGUAAAGGGUAGGCCUAAACACUUUUAACAAUUCAUUCUCCUAGAACACCAUGUGCAAGUUCACCACAGGAGCAUAUAGCUCCACUGGAACAAGAUUUAUGGGGUUAGAGACUUGUUCGUCACCCCCUCUUUUUAACCUUUUAUUUACUCUGCAUUCCUCCCAGUAUUUUUGUAUACAUUUUAUUAUAACCUUUAUUUAACUAGGUAUUACCCUGUAAUUUCUGCGCUGUCUCUCCCUCUUUCUCCCCAUUGAUUUGUUUGCGCCAGAAAUAGAGGUCAGAGGGAAGCGUGGGCGCCAAGAGCACGUGAGACAGAAAAACAUGGCUAUACUUACCGCCAGGGAAAAUCCUGGAUGCUUUUUGUGAAGUUGGAGAUUAACAUGCUUGGAAGAACACAUCACACAGUCCCUCUUCAUUUGAAGUAAAGUGAUUAGAUGAGAGUGAAGACAGAAAGGAAAUACAUAAUAAACUCUUUGAGAUUGUAAUUAAAAGUUUAUUAUGAUUAUAAUAUAAUGGAAUGAAAAUGCCUUUACACUCUUAAUGCUGGGUGCAUAAUAAAAGUGUCGUAAUAUU
Molecule: long non-coding RNA, 2689 nt
Organism: Oncorhynchus keta (chum salmon)
Lineage: Eukaryota; Metazoa; Chordata; Actinopteri; Salmoniformes; Salmonidae
Exons: 2
Source: RefSeq, a predicted model, not a curated record